RNAcentral lists this ribosomal RNA (745 nucleotides) under Clostridioides difficile. RNAcentral's name for it is "bacterial LSU rRNA". It matches the Rfam family "Bacterial large subunit ribosomal RNA", at positions 786 to 1536 of the family's 2925-position model. The record is from RNAcentral. Lineage: Bacteria; Bacillati; Bacillota; Clostridia; Peptostreptococcales; Peptostreptococcaceae.
GCGUUGAAAAGCUCGGGGAUGACUUGUGGGUAGCGGUGAAAUUCCAAUCGAGCCCGGAGAUAGCUGGUUCUCCCCGAAAUAGCUUUAGGGCUAGCCUCAAGGUGAGAGAUACGGAGGUAGAGCACUGAAUGUCCUAGGGGGUAUUGCACCUACCGAAGACUAUCAAACUCCGAAUGCCGUCAUCUUAUACUUGGGAGUCAGACUGUGGGUGAUAAGAUUCAUAGUCGAAAGGGCAACAGCCCAGAUCGUCAGCUAAGGUCCCUAAAUGUAAGUUAAGUGGUAAAGGAUGUGGGAUUGCACAGACAACCAGGAUGUUGGCUUAGAAGCAGCCACUCAUUCAAAGAGUGCGUAAUAGCUCACUGGUCGAGUGAUCCUGCGCCGAAGAUUUCCGGGGCUAAAACUUACUACCGAAGCUACGGCAUCAGUAAUGAGGGGUAGGGGAGCUUCCCAUACGGGUUGAAGCAUGACCGUAAGGACAUGUGGACAGUAUGGGAGUGAGAAUGUUGGCAUGAGUAGCGAGAUGUGGGUGAGAAUCCCACAGGCCGUAAACCCAAGGUUUCCAGGGGAAGGUUCGUCCGCCCUGGGUUAGUCGGGACCUAAGCUGAGGCCGAAAGGCGUAGGUGAUGGACAACAGGUUGAUAUUCCUGUACUACCGAUAACCGUUUGAGAGAAGGGAUGACACAGUAGGAUAAGCUAAGCACACUGUUGGUUAUGUGUGCCCAAGCAUUGAGGCAGUCAAAGUAGG